GGCGAACGGGUGAGUAAAAGAGAGCAACCUGCCCCAGGCUUUGGGAUAACCCCGGGAAACCGGGGCUAAUACCGAAUAUUACCUUGCGCCGCAUGGUGUUGGGUGGAAAGUUUUUCGGCUUGGGAUGGGCUCGCGGCCUAUCAGCUUGUUGGUGGGGUGAUGGCCUACCAAGGCGACGACGGGUAGCCGGCCUGAGAGGGCGACCGGCCACACUGGGACUGAGACACGGCCCAGACUCCUACGGGAGGCAGCAGUGGGGAAUAUUGCACAAUGGGCGGAAGCCUGAUGCAGCGACGCCGCGUGAGGGAUGACGGCCUUCGGGUUGUAAACCUCUUUCAGCAGGGACGAAGCGUAAGUGACGGUACCUGCAGAAGAAGCGCCGGCCAACUACGUGCCAGCAGCCGCGGUAAGACGUAGGGCGCGAGCGUUGUCCGGAUUUAUUGGGCGUAAAGAGCUCGUAGGCGGCUUGUCGCGUCGACUGUGAAAACCCGCAGCUCAACUGCGGGCCUGCAGUCGAUACGGGCAGGCUAGAGUUCGGUAGGGGAGACUGGAAUUCCUGGUGUAGCGGUGAAAUGCGCAGAUAUCAGGAGGAACACCGGUGGCGAAGGCGGGUCUCUGGGCCGAUACUGACGCUGAGGAGCGAAAGCGUGGGGAGCGAACAGGAUUAGAUACCCUGGUAG
Molecule: ribosomal RNA, 680 nt
Filed under: Micromonospora sp. I12A-01958
Lineage: Bacteria; Bacillati; Actinomycetota; Actinomycetes; Micromonosporales; Micromonosporaceae
Description: bacterial SSU rRNA
Rfam family: Bacterial small subunit ribosomal RNA
Source: RNAcentral